This 460-nucleotide ribosomal RNA is filed under the name uncultured Sphingobacteriales bacterium. RNAcentral's name for it is "bacterial SSU rRNA". It matches the Rfam family "Bacterial small subunit ribosomal RNA", at positions 923 to 1382 of the family's 1533-position model. The record is from RNAcentral. Lineage: Bacteria; Pseudomonadati; Bacteroidota; Sphingobacteriia; Sphingobacteriales.
GCGACAAGCGGAGGAGCAUGUGGUUUAAUUCGAUGAUACGCGAGGAACCUUACCUGGGCUCGAACGUAAGAUGACUGUAGGUGAAAGCUUACAUCUCUUCGGAGCAUUUUACGAGGUGCUGCAUGGUUGUCGUCAGCUCGUGCCGUGAGGUGUCGGGUUAAGUCCCAUAACGAGCGCAACCCCUACCUUUAGUUGCCAUCAGGUAAUGCUGGGGACUCUAAAGGAACUGCCUACGCAAGUAGUGAGGAAGGCGGGGAUGACGUCAAAUCAGCACGGCCCUUACGUCCAGGGCUACACACGUGCUACAAUGGCCGAUACAGAGGGCAGCUACCUGGUGACAGGAUGCAAAUCUCCAAAGUCGGUCUCAGUUCGGAUCGGAGUCUGCAACCCGACUCCGUGAAGUUGGAUUCGCUAGUAAUCGCGCAUCAGCCAUGGCGCGGUGAAUACGUUCCCGGGCCUU